This 494-nucleotide ribosomal RNA is filed under the name uncultured bacterium. RNAcentral's name for it is "partial 16S ribosomal RNA". It matches the Rfam family "Bacterial small subunit ribosomal RNA", at positions 28 to 507 of the family's 1533-position model. The record is from RNAcentral.
GACGAACGCUGGCGGCGCGCUUAACACAUGCAAGUCGAACGGAAAGGCCUGCUUUCCCUUGUGGAUUGCGGGUACUCGAGUGGCGAACGGGUGAGUAACACGUGAGUGAUCUGCCCCCAACUUGGUUAUAAGCCUGGGAAACUGGGUCUAAUUCCCGAUAGGACUGCAGGGUGGUGCCUGUGGUGGAAAACGAUUUUCUAGUGGUUGGGGAUGAGCUCGCGGCCUAUCAGCUUGUUGGUGGGGUAAUGGCCUACCAAGGCGGCGACGGGUAGCCGGCCUGAGAGGGUGGACGGCCACAUUGGGACUGAGAUACGGCCCAGACUCCUACGGGAGGCAGCAGUGGGGAAUAUUACACAAUGGGCGGAAGCCUGAUGCAGCGACGCCGCGUGGGGGAUGACGGCCUUCGGGUUGUAAACUCCUUUCGACCGCGAGGAAGCCACCUGGUUGGAAGGGUGGUGACGGUAGUGGUAGAAGAAGCACCGGCUAACUACGUG